This 1044-nucleotide long non-coding RNA is filed under the name Terrapene triunguis (Three-toed box turtle). RNAcentral describes it as "Terrapene carolina triunguis (Three-toed box turtle) lncRNA (ENSTMTG00000000181.1)". The record is from RNAcentral. Lineage: Eukaryota; Metazoa; Chordata; Testudines; Emydidae.
AUGGAUCCAGACGGCCCUUCCAGCCACACGGAGCCCAUGGACCUCCUGGCUUCUUAUGCCGCAGAAGCUCCAGGAUGUAGGCCUGGAGAAAGCCUCUUUAGGAUUCAAGAUGCGAUUGUGUUCUCCGAUAAUUACACAGACCCGGGCAGUGCCUUGUACGCCCAGUCCCCCUCGGGCCCGGAGGGCCACGGUGUUGGCAGCUGCUCCUUGGAAGUCACUGCCAGGGACUGCGAGACGUCUACGGAAGAAUUUGCUGGCCUGGGGGGUGGAGAGAUGCUGUGCGCCGUGGGGAACGCACUUGGUUCAGAGAUCCCUGCAGUGGAAUCUCCACCCCCUCCAGCAGAGAACCCGAAUGCUCAGGACGAGGGGAAGAAUGACGCUGCCCAAGCACUGUUCUGGUCCGGGAUCCUCCAAGCUCAGCUGUGCGUGCUGGACCUGCAAGGGGAGCUGGAGAAGCAAGAAGAGCCUGUCGCUGAGCUAAGCAGCUGGUCCCGGGGCCCUGAGGACGCACUGAGCCGCGCCCCGGCUGCACAGGGCUUGCCCAUCUCCUGGGAGCCGCUGGACGAAAGAGCCACCGCGGCCAGUGACAGCGAUGACGGGCAAGAGGCCGGCCUGGCGAGGCAGGAGGAGGAGAGCUGGUCGUCCGAGGGGGAGGAGGAGGAAGAGCAGUGCCUCUUCUACAACAACCCGCUCUUCCAGGAGAGCCCGGGUCCCGCAGGGCCCAGCCCCUCUGACGGCCCUGCCUUUUGGAGCGCCGCCGAGGGGGACCGCGCUGGUUCCAGCGAUGAGGCCGAUGGGGCUCCCCAGGGCGAGCCGGUGUCAGGUGGCCAGCAGGAGGAAGAAGAGCUCUCGUGCCCCUUCGCUGAGGCGACCGAACCGGGAGCCAAGGAUGAGACGUCGUGCGAUUUCCCCGCCUACACGAUGCACUGCAGCACCUGGGCCCCCUUGGUGAUCACGGAACGGGACAUCGACGGGGCCUGCUCAAUGGCUGAGGACCCGGAGGUAAGAAGCGAGCAGCCCAUUCGCCCUUUGUCAACCUCCUCU